UACGUAGGGUGCGAGCGUUGUCCGGAAUUAUUGGGCGUAAAGAGCUCGUAGGCGGUCUGUCGCGUCGAAUGUGAAAACCCGGGGCUCAACUCCGGGCUUGCACUCGAUACGGGCAGGCUAGAGUUCGGUAGGGGAGUCUGGAAUUCCUGGUGUAGCGGUGAAAUGCGCAGAUAUCAGGAGGAACACCGGUGGCGAAGGCGGGACUCUGGGCCGAUACUGACGCUGAGGAGCGAAAGCGUGGGGAGCGAACAGG
This 253-nucleotide ribosomal RNA is filed under the name uncultured bacterium. RNAcentral's name for it is "partial 16S ribosomal RNA". It matches the Rfam family "Bacterial small subunit ribosomal RNA", at positions 524 to 776 of the family's 1533-position model. The record is from RNAcentral.